UUUUAGUUUUGAGAGGAGAAACAGGAAGAAUUGUGAAAGAAAAAGAACCCCACAAUAAUUUGGAUACAUUCUUUUCAGAACCUAAGAGUUCAAUGAAUCAAUGAGUCAUGAGUCUCCAGAUAAGUACUCCCAGCUGGAGAGACCGUAUGGAACUAUGAGAUAGAGAGACGACAUGAGCAAGAAGGGAAGAGAUACUUAACAAUCCCAUAAUCUAUGCUUAGCCCAGCCUUCAAGUCAUCCUUCUAUACUAGAAGUUUUUUAGACUGCUUACUUAACAAAUGGGUGGACUGAAAAACAAGAACAUACUCAGACUUUUGAAUGAAAUGUAUGCCAAGAUUGUUCAUGUCAAUCACCAUGGAUAUAAAGACUAAUUUGAAGUUAAUCAAGGAGUCUCUUUUAUCACUGAGACCUACGAUUGCCCAAUUGC
Canis lupus familiaris (dog) is the source of this 427-nucleotide long non-coding RNA. RefSeq lists it as uncharacterized. The record is from RefSeq and is a predicted model, not a curated record. NCBI's taxonomy places the organism in Eukaryota, Metazoa, Chordata, Mammalia, Carnivora, Canidae. The transcript is spliced from 3 exons.